Molecule: unclassified non-coding RNA, 1382 nt
Filed under: uncultured Neocallimastigales
Lineage: Eukaryota; Fungi; Neocallimastigomycota; Neocallimastigomycetes; Neocallimastigales
Description: partial contains small subunit ribosomal RNA, internal transcribed spacer 1, 5.8S ribosomal RNA, internal transcribed spacer 2, and large subunit ribosomal RNA
Rfam family: Eukaryotic large subunit ribosomal RNA (bases 604-1382)
Source: RNAcentral
UUUCCGUAGGUGAACCUGCGGAAGGAUCAUUAAAAAAUGUGGUACCGAUUGUUGGUACUAAUUAAUCAUCCUACCCUUUGUGAAUUUGUUUGUAAUGAAUUUUUUUAAAUGGGUCUUUCCCUAAGUUGGAUUGUAGUAAAAUACAAAAAGACUUAGGGGAAUGACUUUUUUAAAAGACUUUUUUUUAAUUAAAACUUUUUGUAUUCAUUUGUCUAAAAUUUAUUUUUAUAAUAUAAAAACAACUUUUGACAAUGGAUCUCUUGGUUCUCGCAACGAUGAAGAACGCAGCAAAAUGCGAUAAGUAGUGUGAAUUGCAGAAUACGUGAAUCAUCGAAUCUUCGAACGCAUAUUGCACUUUUUUAGUUUACUAAAAAAGUAUGUCUGUUUGAGUAUCAGUAAAAUAUUCUCACAAACAUAUAUUGUUUGUGGUAUGAGUGUUUUACAACGAUAAACAAGUUGUUUCACUUUAAAUUCUUUUGUAAUGAUUUUUACCAAUUCAUAAAUUAAAAUUGGAUAAAAUUUUCCUUUAACGAGGAAUAACCUAAACAAUUUUAAAUUUUUUGGUUUAUAAACAUUCAUAAAGGAAUCUAUACAUAAAUAACUUGAUCUCAGAUCAGAUAAGAGUACCCGCUGAACUUAAGCAUAUCAAUAAGCGGAGGAAAAGAAACUAACAAGGAUUCCCUUAGUAACGGCGAGUGAAGCGGGAAGAGCUCAAAUUUGAAAUCUUCAAGGUUUGACCUUGACGAAUUGUAGUUUAUAGAAGUGUUUUCUGUUGGAGUUUUGGUAAAAGUUCUUUGGAUAGGACAUCAUAGAGGGUGAGAAUCCCGUAUUUGACCAUGACUUUCCAGCUGUGUGAUACACUUUCAAAGAGUCGGAUUGUUUGGGAAUGCAGUCCAAAAUGGGUGGUAAAUUUCAUCUAAAGCUAAAUAUUGGCGAGAGACCGAUAGCGAACAAGUACCGUGAGGGAAAGAUGAAAAGAACUUUGAAAAGAGAGUUAAACAGUACGUGAAAUUGUCAAAAGGGAAGCGUUUGACACCAGUGUUGUUUUCUCGAAAAUCAAUUUAAUGAGUUCUUGUUUUUAAGUUAUUGUGACUUUAUCAGCGCAUUUCUUAUUUUACUUGACUCAUUGAAUGCACUUUUCGUUUAACAAGUCAACAUCAAUUUCUUUGGUGGUAAAAAGUUUAAAGGAAGGUGGCUUGGACUUCGGUUCAAGUGUUUAUAGCCUUUUUUCUAUGCCAUCGGAGAGAUUGAGGUCUGCAGCGUAGAUCCUUCGGGGUUAGAUACCUUUGUGCUAAGUUGUAGUUUUUUAUAGACAACUUGUUGACUAUAAUUAACCCUGUAAUUUACUCGCUUAGGCUAUUUUACCUACGCUUAGGAUGUUG